RNAcentral lists this ribosomal RNA (468 nucleotides) under uncultured bacterium. RNAcentral describes it as "partial 16S ribosomal RNA". It matches the Rfam family "Bacterial small subunit ribosomal RNA", at positions 28 to 507 of the family's 1533-position model. The record is from RNAcentral.
GAUGAACGCUGGCGGCGUGCUUAACACAUGCAAGUCGAACGGAAAGGCCCAGCUUUCGUGGGGUGCUAGUGUCGAGAAGGUGUGUGAAACAUGAGUAUACUGCCCUCAACACUUUGGGAUAACUUCAGGACUCUGUGUCUUACAGCGGAUAGGCGUCCACGCCGCAUGGUGGGGUGUGGAGAGUUUUCGCGGUUGGGGAUGGACUCGCGGCUUAUCAGCUUGUUGGUGGGGUAGUGGCUUACCAAGGCCUUGACGGGUAGCCGGCCUGAGAGGGUGACCGGCCACAUUGGGACUGAGAUACGGCCCAGACUCCUACGGGAGGCAGCAGUGGGGAAUAUUGCACAAUGGGCGGAAGCCUGAUGCAGCAACGCCGCGUGCGGGAUGACGGCCUUCGGGUUGUAAACCGCUUUCGCCAGGGAAGAAGCGUAAGUGACGGUAAUGGGUAAAGAAGCACCGGCUAACUACGUG